CAAUAGCGUAUAUUAAAGUUGUUGCAGUUAAAAAGCUCGUAGUUGGAGUUCAGAGUGAGCUCGUCCGGUCGGCCUUAUGGGUCAGAACUGGUUGACUCUCUCUUGUUUGUGGAUCCUGUCAGCAGUUAACUCUGUUGAUGUGGAGUCCACAUCGUUUACCUUGAAAAAUUAGAGUGUUCAAAGCAGGCAAUUCGCCUGAAUAAUGGUGCAUGGAAUAAUGGAAUAGGACCUCGGUUCUAUUUUGUUGGUUUUCGGAACUUGAGGUAAUGAUUAAUAGGGAUAGUUGGGGGCAUUCGUAUUUAACUGUCAGAGGUGAAAUUCUUGGAUUUAUGAAAGACUAACUACUGCGAAAGCAUUUGCCAAGGAUGUUUUUCAUUAAUCAAGAACGAAAGUUAGGGGAUCGAAGACGAUCAGAUA
This 417-nucleotide ribosomal RNA is filed under the name uncultured eukaryote. RNAcentral describes it as "bacterial SSU rRNA". It matches the Rfam family "Eukaryotic small subunit ribosomal RNA", at positions 592 to 1014 of the family's 1831-position model. The record is from RNAcentral.